CCUACGGGAGGCAGCAGUAAGGAAUAUUGGUCAAUGGACGAAAGUCUGAACCAGCCAUGCCGCGUGAAGGAUGAAGGCCCUCUGGGUUGUAAACUUCUUUUAUCUGGGACGAAAAAAGCUCAUUCUUGAGCACUUGACGGUACCAGAGGAAUAAGCACCGGCUAACUCCGUGCCAGCAGCCGCGGUAAUACGGAGGGUGCAAGCGUUAUCCGGAUUCACUGGGUUUAAAGGGUGCGUAGGUGGGUCUGUAAGUCAGUGGUGAAAUCUCCGAGCUUAACUCGGAAACUGCCAUUGAUACUAUAGGUCUUGAAUCAUCUGGAGGUGAGCGGAAUAUGUCAUGUAGCGGUGAAAUGCUUAGAUAUGACGUAGAACACCAAUUGCGAAGGCAGCUUACUACGGGUGUAUUGACACUGAGGCACGAAAGCGUGGGGAUCAAACAGGAUUAGAUACCCUGGUAGUCCACGCCCUAAACGAUGGAUACUCGACAUCAGCGAUACACUGUUGGUGUCUGNGNGAAGANAUAAGUAUCCUACCGUGGUUAGUUAGUACGCGAGUAGAAGUUACGAAGAAGUUAGAGGCGNGAGAGNGCGACGGACGACGACGAGGGAGGAGGAG
Molecule: ribosomal RNA, 615 nt
Filed under: uncultured bacterium
Lineage: Bacteria
Description: bacterial SSU rRNA
Rfam family: Bacterial small subunit ribosomal RNA (bases 1-534)
Source: RNAcentral